UCUCUCCAUUUUUUCCACAUCUAUUGAUUUCAUAGAUUAGAUAAACAAAAGAAAGAAAGAAAAAAAACAUCCGAUCCUCUAUUUCCAUCUCCAUCUGAACUCCAUCUAUCUGAUAGAUCUGAAUUAUUGAAGACCAAAGCCAAAUCUGAUUUGUUGGAGACCAAACCAAAUCCGGUUUCAAAGAAGGAUUGUCAUGGAGAAACCAAAGUGGGUUUGAAUACUAUUUUAGAUUUUCACUCUUGGAAACAGACCAUCUCGAUGAGGAAAUAACAAGGGGAUAUAUUUUUGUAGGUCUGAUGAUAUGAUUCAUAUAUGAAUGAUGACGAUAUAAAGUGUUUUUAAAAAGGAAAAAUUCACCAGUUGGUGCAGGGAAGCAAAUAGAAAGAAAUUUUUUAGGCAAAAAUUUAAUGCAUUUAUCCACUUCAGAUAAUUAUUGUGUAGUUGAUUGGAAACAAAAGUCUGGUCACUCUCCGACCGGUAGAUGGCAAACAACUUCCGGCACGUCCUGUUACCAGAAGCUUUUGUGCACAAUUACUCGCCAAUGCACAAAAAGAAACAGCCAAAAACAAGAAGGGUCUUGUAGUUGGUGCAGUCGUGUAAUAGAUCCGUCAAGAAAGAACUAUGAGCCAUUUUCAAGGAAAGCAAGAUAGAGGGGGUUGGGCGCCUGUGGACUAGGUUGCUCACUGUGAUUAUGCAUGUGCAUUACUAUUGUUUUUGUGCGUGUAUGUGAUUGUAGAUAUAUAUGUGUGGUAUCGAGGUUAACCAAGGAUUUAGUGGAAACAUGCAGAAUAUGCAAUCCUCAGUUCAUAUAUUUAGAGGACUUAAACCCAAAGCGGUUUUUGACAAGCCCAUCUGCUGGAGUACUCAAUGAUGGUCAUGAUUAUGCAAAUUCAGACCUUAUUCUGACUGUGAACUAGGCCUUGGUGAAUUCAGAAACUCAUAGAAGAUAUAUUGUAAAAGACAUACAUGGGCAGGGGACAUUUGGGCAGGUUGCUAAAUUCGGGGUUGCAGAACUUGAUUGUUUCGUUGCUGUGAAGGUCAUUAAAGAUCAACCUGCUUGCUAUCAGCAGGCCCUGGUCGAAGUGUCCAUUCUGACAACGGAUAUACACACGCAUUCUGUUCGUAGUCCACUUGCAACAACCGUGGAGUUUGUAAGAUUAUAAAUGCUUCAACCUGAAAGGUAUAUAAUACAAUAGUAGAGGUGGAGAAAUGGAUGGGUCGUGUAAUGGGCGAAUAUAGGUUCAGGUCAUAACAGGUAGUAUCUAAGCUGGGGUAGGCUGAGUUGAAUAUGUUGAAACACUUAUACCAAUUUAUAUUGUAUGUGCCGGUUAAAGAUCACUUUGUAUAUAUAUACAAUAUUUUUGCGACUUCACAAUAACUUGACCAUAUAUUAUGUGUA
This is a long non-coding RNA of Erigeron canadensis, 1399 nucleotides long. RefSeq lists it as uncharacterized. The transcript is spliced from 9 exons. The record is from RefSeq and is a predicted model, not a curated record. NCBI's taxonomy places the organism in Eukaryota, Viridiplantae, Streptophyta, Magnoliopsida, Asterales, Asteraceae.